CACGUAGGGAGCAAGCGUUGUCCGGAUUUAUUGGGCGUAAAGAGCUCGUAGGUGGUUCGAUAAGUCGGGUGUGAAACCUCCAGGCUCAACCUGGAGACGCCACCCGAUACUGUCGUGACUAGAGUCCAGUAGGGGAGCGUGGAAUUCCUGGUGUAGCGGUGAAAUGCGCAGAUAUCAGGAGGAACACCAGCGGCGAAGGCGGCGCUCUGGGCUGGCACUGACACUGAGGAGCGAAAGCGUGGGGAGCGAACAGG
Molecule: ribosomal RNA, 254 nt
Filed under: uncultured bacterium
Lineage: Bacteria
Description: partial 16S ribosomal RNA
Rfam family: Bacterial small subunit ribosomal RNA
Source: RNAcentral